GCCCUCGGGCUUAGUGGCGGACGGGUGAGUAACGCGUGAGAAUCUACCUUCUAGAUGGGGACAACCGUUGGAAACGACAGCUAAUCCCCAAUAAGCCGAGAGGUGAAACGGGUAUCCGCUAGAAGAGGAGCUCGCGUCCGAUUAGUUAGUUGGUGGGGUAAAAGCCUACCAAGGCAGCGAUCGGUAGCUGGUCUGAGAGGAUGAGCAGCCACACUGGGACUGAGACACGGCCCAGACUCCUACGGGAGGCAGCAGUGGGGAAUUUUCCGCAAUGGGCGAAAGCCUGACGGAGCAACGCCGCGUGUGGGAAGAAGGCUCUUGGGCUGUCAACCACUUUUCUCAGGGAAGAAGACCUGACGGUACCUGAGGAAUCAGCCUCGGCUAACUCCGUGCCAGCAGCCGCGGUAAUACGGAGGAGGCAAGCGUUAUCCGGAAUUAUUGGGCGUAAAGCGUCCGCAGGGGGCGCAUCAAGUCUGCUGUUAAAGGUCGGAGCUAAACUCCGGUAGAGCAGUGGAAACUGGUGCGCUAGAGGGCGACAGGGGUAGAGGGAAUUCCCAGUGUAGCGGUGAAAUGCGUAGAGAUUGGGAAGAACACCGGUGGCGAAAGCGCUCUACUGGGUCGCACCUGACCCUCAGGGACGAAAGCUAAGGUAGCGAAAGGGAUUAGAUACCCCUGUAGUCUUAGCCGUAAACGAUGGAUACUAGGCGUGGUUUGUAUCGACCCAAGCCGUGCCGAAGCUAACGCGUUAAGUAUCCCGCCUGGGGAGUACGCACGCAAAGUGUGAAACUCAAAGGAAUUGACGGGGGCCCGCACAAGCGGUGGAGGAUGUGGUUUAAUUCGAUGCAACGCGAAGAACCUUACCAGGGCUUGACAUCCCGCGAAGUUUGGGGAAACUCAGACGUGCCUACGGGAACGCGG
This 918-nucleotide ribosomal RNA is filed under the name uncultured organism. Its description in RNAcentral is "bacterial SSU rRNA". It matches the Rfam family "Bacterial small subunit ribosomal RNA", at positions 82 to 1031 of the family's 1533-position model. The record is from RNAcentral.